UGACUGUGUCGGCAUGUGAGUGGUGAUGGAUUUGUAUGCCGYGGUGGGCUCCCUGCUAUUGUGCAGUUGACCAYCGACGCUGCAAGGGCGUCAUAGAGGACGUGCU
RNAcentral lists this unclassified non-coding RNA (106 nucleotides) under Musa basjoo (Japanese banana). Its description in RNAcentral is "partial external transcribed spacer". Lineage: Eukaryota; Viridiplantae; Streptophyta; Magnoliopsida; Zingiberales; Musaceae. The record is from RNAcentral.